RNAcentral lists this ribosomal RNA (449 nucleotides) under uncultured bacterium. RNAcentral describes it as "partial 16S ribosomal RNA". It matches the Rfam family "Bacterial small subunit ribosomal RNA", at positions 29 to 523 of the family's 1533-position model. The record is from RNAcentral.
AACGAACGCUGGCGGCAGGCUUAACACUUGCAAGUCGAACGCAUCCUUCGGGGUGAGUGGCAGACGGGUGAGUAACGCGUGGGAACGUGCCCUUCAGUUCGGGAUAACCCAGGGAAACUUGGGCUAAUACCGGAUACGUGCGAGAGCAGAAAGAUUUAUCGCUGAAGGAUCGGCCCGCGUCUGAUUAGCUAGUUGGUGGGGUAAUGGCCCACCAAGGCGACGAUCAGUAGCUGGUCUGAGAGGAUGAUCAGUCACAUUGGGACUGAGACACGGCCCAAACUCCUACGGGAGGCAGCAGUGGGGAAUAUUGGACAAUGGGCGCAAGCCUGAUCCAGCCAUGCCGCGUGAGUGAUGAAGGCCUUAGGGUUGUAAAGCUCUUUCGUCCGGGACGAUAAUGACGGUACCGGAAGAAGAAGCCCCGGCUAACUUCGUGCCAGCAGCCGCCGUAA